CACCUGAAAGAACAGCAGGGAAUUCCAGUGGGGCAGAUGGCCAUGCGCAGGAGAAGCUGUGGGCUUGCGGGAAGACUCUGUGCACAUCCUAGAAGUGCCCAGCUGCCUUCUUAUUGUAACCCCAGUGACCAUAUCUGGGUUUACAUGCCUGUUUCUAGACCAGUCACAGGCAAACCAGAAUGGAAUGCUCUACAGGCUGCCUUGGGAAAAGUGUGAUGUGCUCUUCACGGGAACAGCAGUGAGUCUAUCGUGUCCAUUAAGAGAAGGGGCUCUGAAGCCUGAUGACCACAGUUCAAAUCCUGGCUCUAUCAUUCCUGAGUUAUAUAACCCUUGCCAAGGAGCUUAACUUUUUGUUCCUCAGUUUUGCCAUCUGUAGAAUGGUGAUAAUGAUACUUCCCAGGUUGACAUAACGAUUAAAUGUUUAAUGUACAAAAGGUGCUUAACACAGUACUUGGCUCGCAGCAAAGGUUAACUACUGAUCAUCUAUUGUAUAUUUCAAAGUAGCUAGAAGAUAGCAAUUCAAAUGUUUCUAGCAUGAAGAAAAGACAACAAUUUAAGGCAAUGUAAAUCCUGAAGAUAAUGAUUUGAUCUUUACAAGUUAUUCAAAUGUGUUAAAUGAUCACAUGUAUCCCCAAUGUAUGUACAACUAUUAUGUAUUAAUAAAAAAAUUUAACAAAAUUAAAAAAACAAUCCUCAAGACUGAGCAAUUCCUUGUCUGAAUAAAAUCAGGAAAAGGUCCUAGAUGUUGGGUGGGCAACUCCAGUGUCCGCCACACAUGGUCACCCUCCAGUUCACAGACAAGUAAACAAGCAAU
RNAcentral lists this long non-coding RNA (814 nucleotides) under Callithrix jacchus (white-tufted-ear marmoset). Its description in RNAcentral is "lncRNA (ENSCJAG00000066177.2)". Lineage: Eukaryota; Metazoa; Chordata; Mammalia; Primates; Cebidae. The record is from RNAcentral.